GGGUCAUAUUGGACAUGGGCGAAGCUCUGUAUCCAGCCAUGACCGCGUGUGUGAAGAAGGUCUUCGGAUUGUAAAGCACUUUAAGUUGGGAGGAAGGGCAGUAACUUAAUACGUUGCUGUUUUGACGUUACCGACAGAAUAAGCACCGGCUAACUCUGUGCCAGCAGCCGCGGGUAAUA
This 179-nucleotide ribosomal RNA is filed under the name uncultured bacterium. Its description in RNAcentral is "partial 16S ribosomal RNA". It matches the Rfam family "Bacterial small subunit ribosomal RNA", at positions 356 to 525 of the family's 1533-position model. The record is from RNAcentral.